Non-coding RNA from Drosophila virilis, 667 nucleotides. Lineage: Eukaryota; Metazoa; Arthropoda; Insecta; Diptera; Drosophilidae. The record is from RefSeq and is a predicted model, not a curated record.
GCGACGAUUUAGGAACAAUAAAAACAAUAAAAACGAUAAUCAGUCGUGCAACAGAGCUCUCAGGGGUGGUAGGGGCGAUUUAAAUGGAUAAUUCCAAUUAGGUAAGUAUGUGAGCUUAGUUCGCGCAAGUGUUAAUUUUAAAUUUUUAUAUUUUACAGGCACAGAUGCAUCACCUUACGAGUUUCCCUCACCGUUCGCACUCUAAAGUGAAGCUCGGCGUAAGUGCCUAUGGAGUACUUUUCAGGAGUCUUCAUCAUUUCUCUGCCAAGGGCCCGAACGAGGAUGGGCAAAAAGAGAAAAGGACUCCUUUGGCUUCAGGUCCCACACCGCUGAAGUCUUAUAUGGCACGAGUAGGUAGCUCAUCAUCGCGCAGCGUGUAGUGGAAUCCGAGAAGCACGACGGAAGUAGAGAAUAUCCAUAAACAUGAGAAGUUUUCUUGUAGAGGUUGAUGACGGUAAGUCACGUUCGCAUGAUGGCGAAACGGUCGCGACCGUUUAUCGUAGCCUGGUGGUAGCCGCCACGAAUAACAAAAUAACAAAAUAGCUUGUGAUAGAAUGUGAUAUAAGGGUAGGUAUUACUAGAGUUUGUUUAAUGUUUUCUAUUUGUUUUGUCCCACUCUGUGCUAAUAUUUGGAAUGUGCUGGCCGUAGUUAAAUGAGCUUCGGAGA